GGUGAAGCAUUCUUCAACAGCUGAAGGAGAUGACACAACGAUCACGAGGCGAAAGCCAAAUCGAAGGGAGAUGAUUGGACCAUAUCUUUGUGAAAGAUUGUGAAGGGUUCGGUGGAGGGGUUGAUUGAGAAGAUGGAGAUUGCCUAAAAUUGGAAGACUAGGAGGGCUUGGUGGGAGUUUUUUAUGCUGUGUUCUUGCUUCUAACCAAAACCUGAAAGCAAGAAGCAUAAACAAAACCGAUAAUGCAGAAUACAGCAAGGCGUC
Molecule: unclassified non-coding RNA, 264 nt
Filed under: Hevea brasiliensis (rubber tree)
Lineage: Eukaryota; Viridiplantae; Streptophyta; Magnoliopsida; Malpighiales; Euphorbiaceae
Source: RNAcentral